AUUAAGUUUAAUUUAAUAUAUAAUCUGCUCAAUGAAAUUUUAAAUAGCUGCAGUAUUUUGACUGUGCAAAGGUAGCAUAAUAAUUAGUCUUUUAAUUGGGGACUGGAAUGAAAGAUUUGAUGAAAAAUAAACUUUAUUAUUUAUAAAAUUAAAAUUUUAUUUUUAAGUAAAAAAGCUUAAAUUAUUUAAAGGGACGAUAAGACCCUAUAAAACUUUAUAAAUAAUUAUUUUUAAUUUUAAUUGAUCUAUAAAUAAUUAAAUUUAAUUUUUUAUUUUAUUGGGGUGAUAAAAAAAAAUAGAACUUUUUUUAAAUAUAAACAUUAAUUAAUGAAUAUUUGAAUUAAAAUUUUUAAUUAAAGGAAAAAGUUACUUUAGGGAUAACAGCGUAAUUAAUUUUUUAAGUCCAAAUUUAAAAAUUAGUUUGCGACCUCGAUGUUGAAUUAAGAUUAAUCUUAGGUGCAAAAUUUUAAGUUUUAGGUCUGUUCGACCUUUAAAAUCUUACGUGA
RNAcentral lists this ribosomal RNA (506 nucleotides) under Sarucallis kahawaluokalani. RNAcentral describes it as "partial 16S ribosomal RNA". The record is from RNAcentral. Lineage: Eukaryota; Metazoa; Arthropoda; Insecta; Hemiptera; Aphididae.